RNAcentral lists this ribosomal RNA (479 nucleotides) under uncultured bacterium. Its description in RNAcentral is "partial 16S ribosomal RNA". It matches the Rfam family "Bacterial small subunit ribosomal RNA", at positions 28 to 523 of the family's 1533-position model. The record is from RNAcentral.
GACGAACGCUGGCGGCGUGCUUAACACAUGCAAGUCGAGCGACGAAGCACCUUCGGGUGUGAAUUAGCGGCGAACGGGUGAGGAACACGUGAAGAAUCUGCCUUCAACUCUGGGAUAACUCCGGGAAACCGGGGCUAAUACCGGAUAUGAGCCUUGAUCGCAUGAUCGGGGCUGGAAAGUUUUUCGGUUGAAGAUGACUUCGCGGCCUAUCAGCUUGUUGGUGAGGUAAUGGCUCACCAAGGCGACGACGGGGAGCCGGCCUGAGAGGGCGACCGGCCACACUGGGACUGAGACACGGCCCAGACUCCUACGGGAGGCAGCAGUGGGGAAUAUUGGGCAAUGGAGGAAACUCUGACCCAGCGACGCCGCGUGAGGGAUGAAGGCCUUCGGGUUGUAAACCUCUUUCAGUAGGGAAGAAGCGAAAGUGACGGUACCUACAGAAGAAGCACCGGCUAACUAUGUGCCAGCAGCCGCAGUAA